GAGGAAUCAGACAGGAUACUGCAAACAUCUCUGAACUGCACAACAACAGAAAUCAAUACAGUCCAUGGCUUAGAAUUAAUGCACCCCAUAUUGACUAAGCUCAAAACAAAACCCUAGUCCUGAGGGUCAGAAACAAAACCCUAGUCCUGAGGGUCAGAAACAAAACCCUAGUCCUGAGGGUCAGAAACAAAACCCUAGUCCUGAGGGUCAGAAACAAAACCCUAGUCCUGAGGGUCAGAAACAAAACCCUAGUUCUGAUGGUCAGAAACAAAACCCUAGUCCUGAGGGAGGAAUUAAGUCUCAUAUUAAACUGUUUCAUGGCUGCAUUAUAACAUUAAAUCAAAGCUCAUUUUAUUGGUCGCAUACACAUUUUAGCAAUGUUAUUGCAGGUGUAGUGAAAUGCUUGUGUUCCUAGCUCCAACAGUGCAGUAAUAUCUAACAAUACACAAUAAUACACACACAUCUAAAAGUAAAAUAAUGGAAUUAAGAAAUAUCUAAUUGUAACGGCUGUUGAAUGGAGUAGACCAAGGUGCAGUGUGGUUAGUGCUCAUCUUUGAAAUUUAAUGGAAAAGAGAACACUUUACAAAAUAAACAAACGACAACAGCCAAACAUUUCUGUCAGGUAACAAAUGACUAAACAGAAAAUAACCACCCACAAAACCCAAAGGAAAACAGGCUGCCUAAGUAUGGCUCCCAAUCAGCAACAACGAUAUACAGCUGUCCCUGAUUGAGAGCCAUACCCGGCUGAAACAAAGAAAUACCAAACAUAGAAAAAAGGACAUAGAAUGCCCACCCCAACUCACGCCCUGACCAACCAAAAUAGAGACAUAAAAGGAUCUCUAAGGUCAGGGCGUGACACUAAUAUUAGGACGAGCAAUAUACAGUAUAAAUAUAUAUGGGAUGGGAUGUAUAGACAUUAUGGACAGUAUGUUGAUAGAAUAUUUAGUGUAUAUGUAGAAUACGUAGGAUAGAAUAGUAAAUAUACAGCAAUAGUUGAAUAGGAUGGCCUUGACUAGAAUACAGCAUAUUGUCACGCACUUCUUUGUCUUCUGACGAUAUUGCGAAAUCGUCAUCUGAAAAGGUAGACCAAAACGCAGCAGGCAUGCGGUUGUUCAUUUUGAACAUUUAAUUAAAUCAAGAACAAUCUCCCACCAAUAACAAACACACCCUAAUAUAUGGGACUCUCAAUCAAAGGCAAAUAGACAACACCUGCCUUCAACUGAGAGUCCCAACCCCAAUUAACCAAACAUAGAAACAGACAUACUAGACUAACCAUAGAAUACAUGAAAACCAAACAGUGCCCAAAAACCCCGGAAUACUUAAAUCAAAUGCCCCUUCAACAAACACACCACCCCGAACCACAUGAAACGAAUACCCUCUGCCACGUCCUGACCAAACUACAAUACCAAUUAACCUUAUACUGGCCAGGACGUGACACAUAUACAUAUGAAUAAUAACUUUCCUCCCAAAACAACUGAAACUAUUAUUUAUCAAUAUUAAAUAUUUAAAUAAGAGAGUUUUAAGGCGUCUGAAAAGGAAAUGAUGUCCUCCUCCUCACUCAUUUCGUGGGAAGUUUUCCCAGGUCACACCAGUUGAGGCCGGCCGCUCUCAGUCAUUUCUGCCUGGACGUCUCUCCAAAUAUUUCUGGGUCACCCCCUCUGUUUAUUUGGGUCCUGGGGGUUGCAUUUCAGAGACUGGCGAGUGAUGUUGCUGACUGAUUUUUAGUAGGCCUAAAAGGGCAGUAAACUAUCUGUUGAAUCUACACUGAGUGUGCCAAACAUUAAGAACACCUGCUCUUUCCAUGGCAUAGACUGACCAGGUGAAUCCUGGUGAAAGCUAUGAUGCCUUAUUGAUGUCACUUGUUAAAUCCACUUCAACCAGUGUAGAUGAAGGGGAGGAGACAGGUUAAAUAAUUAUUUUUAAGCCUUAAGACAAUUGAGACAUGAAUUGCGUAUGUGUGCCAUUCAGAAGGUGAAUGGGCAAGACAAUAUAUUUAAGUGCCAUCCAGACAACUUGACACAACUGUGGGAAGCAUUGGAGUCAACAUGGGCCAGCAUCCCUGUGGAACACAUUUUACACCUUGUGGCGUCCAUGCCAUGACAAAUUGAGGCUGUUCUGAAGGCAAAAUGGCUUCUGUCCUCCGUCCUAUUACAGAUCCGAGCAGUAGAGGUAGAAGUCUAUUCCUGCCACAGCUAGAGCUCUCACCCAAUGGGAUCAGUCUGAGCGACACUUCAACAAGAUGGAUGUUAGGCAUGGAGCUUCAAACCGAGCGUGUUGGGCCCAGACAUCAUUGGGGCCAAAAUGAGUAAAGGGUUGUAGCCCUUCUCCUGCCCCCACCUAAUACGAGGUGCUGCCUGGGUGACAGGAGCCCAUAAAUAACCAAGCUAGCGUGCCAAAGGAACACACUCACCUGAACACCGACAUGGACACAGCACAGCAGAAUGCCAUGGCAGGAGAGAACAGGGCACAAGACCGCAAUAAAUGCCCUACAUCUUUGUAAUGUCACAGGACAAGGGAGUGUGUGUGUGUGUGUGUGUGUGUGUGUGUGUGUGUGUGUGUGUGUGUGUGUGUGUGUGUGUGUGUGUGUGUGUGUGUGUGUGUGUGUGUGUGUGUGUGUGUGUGUGUGUGUGUGUGUGUGUGUGUGCGAGAGAAUGAAGAACAAACACCAUUGUAAAUACAACCCAUAUUUAUGUUUAUUUAUAUUCCCUUUUGUACUUGAACUAUUUGCACAUCGUUAUAACUCCUGAGUGGCGCAGCGGUCUAAGGCACUACAUCUCACAACCGGCUGUGAUUGGGUCCCGUAGGGCGUCGUCCAGGUUAUGGUUUAGCCGGGGUAUUGUUUAGCUGUCAUUGUAAAUAAGAAUUUGUUAACUGACUUGCCUAGUUAAAUAAAGGUUAAAUACAUUUUUUUUAAUAACACUGUACGUAGCCAUAAUAUGACAUUUGAAAUGUGUCUAUUUCUUUGACACUUGUGGGUGUAAUGUUUCCUGUUCAUUCUUGAUUGUUUAAUUCACUUUUAUUGAUUUGCUAUUUCAUUUGCUUUGGCAAUGUAAACAUUUGUUUCCCAUGCCAAUAAAGCCCUUUGAAUUGAAUUGAGAGAGAGAGAGAGAGAGAGAGAGCGAGAGAGAGAGAGAGAGAGCGAGAGAGAGAGAGAGAGAGAGAGAGAGAGAGAGAGAGAGAGAGCGAGAGAGAGAGAGAGAGAGCGAGAGAGAGAGCGAGAGAGCGAGAGAGAGAGAGAGCGAGAGAGAGAGAGAGAAAAAAGGAUUAGGCCACAGACAACACAAUUAAACUAUAUUCACAAAAUCAUUUUAUUCUUCAUUCUGAAGCUUACCCCUAAUCUCAUUAAACAUGCCUUUCAUGUCUCAAAGUAAGGUUAUCAGAGACUCAAUAUUUUGAAUGGUCAGCCUUCCCACUGGUUAAAAACUUGUUGAAGCAAAGUUGUAAUUUCAACCAAAAGAUUAUAUGUGAUCACAUUGAUUUAACGUGGGAAACUGAUUGAAUUUGCAAAAAGUAAUCAAUGUAAGUGAAUUUUGUAUUUUUUUCACCCAACUUUUAAAUUAAA
Molecule: long non-coding RNA, 3562 nt
Filed under: Salmo salar (Atlantic salmon)
Lineage: Eukaryota; Metazoa; Chordata; Actinopteri; Salmoniformes; Salmonidae
Description: lncRNA (ENSSSAG00000112190.1)
Source: RNAcentral